RNAcentral lists this ribosomal RNA (253 nucleotides) under uncultured bacterium. Its description in RNAcentral is "partial 16S ribosomal RNA". It matches the Rfam family "Bacterial small subunit ribosomal RNA", at positions 524 to 776 of the family's 1533-position model. The record is from RNAcentral.
CACGAAGGGGGCUAGCGUUGCUCGGAAUCACUGGGCGUAAAGCGCACGUAGGCGGCUUUUUAAGUCAGGGGUGAAAUCCUGGAGCUCAACUCCAGAACUGCCUUUGAUACUGGGAAGCUUGAGUCCGGGAGAGGUGAGUGGAACUCCGAGUGUAGAGGUGAAAUUCGUAGAUAUUCGGAAGAACACCAGUGGCGAAGGCGGCUCACUGGCCCGGUACUGACGCUGAGGUGCGAAAGCGUGGGGAGCAAACAGG